GCCUGGCUGGCUCAGUCAGUAGAGCAUGGGACUUUUAAUCUCAGGGUUGUGAGUUCAAGCCCCAUGUUGGAUG
RNAcentral lists this transfer RNA (73 nucleotides) under Felis catus (domestic cat). It matches the Rfam family "tRNA". From Rfam's summary of the family: Transfer RNA (tRNA) molecules are approximately 80 nucleotides in length. Their secondary structure includes four short double-helical elements and three loops (D, anti-codon, and T loops). Further hydrogen bonds mediate the characteristic L-shaped molecular structure. tRNAs have two regions of fundamental functional importance: the anti-codon, which is responsible for specific mRNA codon recognition, and the 3' end, to which the tRNAs corresponding amino acid is attached (by aminoacyl-tRNA synthetases). tRNAs cope with the degeneracy of the genetic code in two manners: having more than one tRNA (with a specific anti-codon) for a particular amino acid; and 'wobble' base-pairing, i.e. permitting non-standard base-pairing at the 3rd anti-codon position. The record is from Rfam by way of RNAcentral. Lineage: Eukaryota; Metazoa; Chordata; Mammalia; Carnivora; Felidae.